ACAACCGUCUCGAGUUCUUUCAUAUUUCAUAUUCAAGGGCUCGGUUGUGGUGGAUGAGGCGACUUGUUAUAUAUUUGAUGAGCAUCCUCCCCACCGAAAUUGAGAGGCGGUCAAUCCCCACGUGUUUGCGGCGUUGUAAAAGCUGUCCAGCACUUCUCGCUUGAACUGUGGGUGAACGGCCAGCCAAUUGUGAAAACCCCCCAUUUUAUCAAA
This 213-nucleotide unclassified non-coding RNA is filed under the name uncultured Pyronemataceae. RNAcentral describes it as "sequence contains ITS2". The record is from RNAcentral. Lineage: Eukaryota; Fungi; Ascomycota; Pezizomycetes; Pezizales; Pyronemataceae.